AUUGAACGCUGGCGGCAUGCCUUACACAUGCAAGUCGAACGGCAGCAUGGAAGAGCUUGCUCUUCUGAUGGCGAGUGGCGAACGGGUGAGUAAAGCAUCGGAACGUACCGUGUAGUGGGGGAUAACGUAGCGAAAGUUACGCUAAUACCGCAUACGCACUGAGGUGGAAAGCAGGGGAUCGCAAGACCUUGCGCUAUACGAGCGGCCGAUGUCAGAUUAGCUAGUUGGUAGGGUAAAGGCCUACCAAGGCGACGAUCUGUAGCGGGUCUGAGAGGAUGAUCCGCCACACUGGGACCGAGACACGGCCCAGACUCCUACGGGAGUCAGCAGUGGGGAAUUUUGGACAAUGGGGGAAACCCUGAUCCAGCCAUGCCGCGUGAGUGAAGAAGGCCUUCGGGUUGUAAAGCUCUUUCGGCUGGGAAGAAAUCGCACUGGCUAAUACUCUGUGUGGAUGACGGUACCAGUACAAGAAGCACCGGCUAACUACGUGCCAGCAGCCGCCGUAA
This 506-nucleotide ribosomal RNA is filed under the name uncultured bacterium. RNAcentral's name for it is "partial 16S ribosomal RNA". It matches the Rfam family "Bacterial small subunit ribosomal RNA", at positions 30 to 523 of the family's 1533-position model. The record is from RNAcentral.